This 496-nucleotide ribosomal RNA is filed under the name uncultured bacterium. Its description in RNAcentral is "partial 16S ribosomal RNA". It matches the Rfam family "Bacterial small subunit ribosomal RNA", at positions 28 to 506 of the family's 1533-position model. The record is from RNAcentral.
GAUGAACGCUGGCGGCGUGCCUAAUACAUGCAAGUCGAGCGAACAGACGAGGAGCUUGCUCCUCUGACGUUAGCGGCGGACGGGUGAGUAACACGUGGAUAACCUACCUAUAAGACUGGGAUAACUUCGGGAAACCGGAGCUAAUACCGGAUAACAUGUUGAACCGCAUGGUUCAACAGUGAAAGACGGUUUUGCUGUCACUUAUAGAUGGAUCCGCGUCGCAUUAGCUAGUUGGUAAGGUAACGGCUUACCAAGGCAACGAUGCGUAGCCGACCUGAGAGGGGGAUCGGCCACACGGAAACUGAGACACGGUCCAGACUCCUAGGGGAGGCAGCAGUGGGGAAUCUUCCGCAAUGGGCGAAAGCCUGACGGAGCAACGCCGCGUGGGUGAAGAAGGUCUUCGGAUCGUAAAACGCUGUUAUUAGGGAAGAACAAAUGUGUAAGUAACUAUGCACGUCUUGACGGUACCUAAUCAGAAAGCCACGGCUAACUACGU